UACGGGGGGGGCAAGCGUUGUUCGGAAUUACUGGGCGUAAAGGGCUCGUAGGUGGCCAACUAAGUCAGACGUGAAAUCCCUCGGCUUAACCGGGGAACUGCGUCUGAUACUGGAUGGCUUGAGUUUGGGAGAGGGACGCGGAAUUCCAGGUGUAGCGGUGAAAUGCGUAGAUAUCUGGAGGAACACCAAUGGCGAAGGCAGCACUCUGGGACGUGACUGACGCUGAGACGCGAAAGCGUGGGGAGCAAACAGG
This 253-nucleotide ribosomal RNA is filed under the name uncultured bacterium. Its description in RNAcentral is "partial 16S ribosomal RNA". It matches the Rfam family "Bacterial small subunit ribosomal RNA", at positions 524 to 776 of the family's 1533-position model. The record is from RNAcentral.